GGGCGAUUAGCUCAGUAGGAUAGAGCGCUGGUCUCCGGAACCAGAGGCCGUGGGUUCAAGUCCCACAUCGCCUACCA
This 77-nucleotide transfer RNA is filed under the name Pseudomonadota bacterium. RNAcentral's name for it is "tRNA-Arg". It matches the Rfam family "tRNA". Rfam says of the family: Transfer RNA (tRNA) molecules are approximately 80 nucleotides in length. Their secondary structure includes four short double-helical elements and three loops (D, anti-codon, and T loops). Lineage: Bacteria; Pseudomonadati; Pseudomonadota. The record is from RNAcentral.